Molecule: ribosomal RNA, 253 nt
Filed under: uncultured bacterium
Lineage: Bacteria
Description: partial 16S ribosomal RNA
Rfam family: Bacterial small subunit ribosomal RNA
Source: RNAcentral
GACAGAGGGUGCAAACGUUGCUCGGAAUUACUGGGCGUAAAGCGCGUGUAGGCGGACCAGCAAGUCAGGCGUGAAAUCCCUAGGCUCAACCUAGGAACUGCACCUGAAACUGCUGGUCUUGAGUAGUGGAGAGGAAAGCAGAAUUCCUGGUGUAGAGGUGAAAUUCGUAGAUAUCAGGAGGAACACCGGUGGCGAAGGCGGCUUUCUGGACACUUACUGACGCUGAGACGCGAAAGCGUGGGGAGCAAACAGG